Molecule: ribosomal RNA, 749 nt
Filed under: uncultured eukaryote
Lineage: Eukaryota
Description: bacterial SSU rRNA
Rfam family: Eukaryotic small subunit ribosomal RNA
Source: RNAcentral
AUGGUGUGUACUGGUCUUUCCGUCCUUCCUUCUGGUUUUGCUGCCUUCUGCUCUUAACUGAACGGGAGGUUUAGCUCCAGAUCUUUUACUUUGAAAAAAUUAGAGUGUUCAAAGCAGGUACCAAAACUUUUACGCCUUGUAUACAAUACCCUGGGAUAAUAUAAUAGGACAUCGCUCUUUAUUUUUGUUGGUUUCUAAUAGCGGCGUAAUGAUUAAUACAGAUGGUUGGGGACAUUCGUAAUUGAAUGUCACACGAGAAAUUCUUGGAUUUAUCAAAAAUGAACUCCUGCCAAAGCAUUUAUCAUAGAAGCUUACAUUAAACAAGAAACAAAGCUACGGGAUCGAACACCAACACAUACCGUCCUAGUCGGAGCCAUGAACCUUGGCGACCACAGAUCAGGAGACCCUGCAUGGAUGACUCCCCUGGGAUCACGCUAGAAAUAACUGAUCUAUGGGUUCUAGGGGGAGUAUGGUCGCAAGGCUGAAACUUAAUCGAAUUGACGUAAGGGCCACCACAGAGUGAGCCUGCGGCUUAAUUUGACCUCAACACGGCGAAACUUACCAGGUCCAGACAUAGUAAGGAUUGACAGAUUGAGAGCUCUUCUUGAUUCUAUGGGUGGUGGUGCAUGGCCGUUCUUAGCUGGGUGGAGUGAUUUGUCUGGUGAAAGGAAUUUGCCAGUAAAAGGUGCACUUGUGUGGGUGGGUAUAGAUGCUCACACAGGUUACUAGCAUCUAGUCUACACUCUUUG